UACUUAUCCAGAAAGACGGAGGGAAAGGCCCGAAGAAGUCUUAGCAACCUGUAAACUCUGUUACAAGGUGCUCAUUCCUUUCUGCUAUAUGCAGAGCUGAUAAGUC
Molecule: non-coding RNA, 106 nt
Filed under: Sphingobacterium spiritivorum
Lineage: Bacteria; Pseudomonadati; Bacteroidota; Sphingobacteriia; Sphingobacteriales; Sphingobacteriaceae
Also listed under: 1 other name
Description: Sphingobacterium sp. SAM-I sequence
Rfam family: SAM riboswitch aptamer (S box leader)
About the family: The SAM riboswitch is found upstream of a number of genes which code for proteins involved in methionine or cysteine biosynthesis in Gram-positive bacteria. The SAM riboswitch acts at the level of transcription termination control. The predicted structure consists of a complex stem-loop region followed by a single stem loop terminator region.
Source: RNAcentral